GACGAACGCUGGCGGCGUGCUUAACACAUGCAAGUCGAACGGAAAGGCCCUGCUUUUGUGGGGUGCUCGAGUGGCGAACGGGUGAGUAACACGUGAGUAACCUGCCCUUGACUUUGGGAUAACUUCAGGAAACUGGGGCUAAUACCGGAUAGGAGCUCCUGCUGCAUGGUGGGGGUUGGAAAGUUUCGGCGGUUGGGGAUGGACUCGCGGCUUAUCAGCUUGUUGGUGGGGUAGUGGCUUACCAAGGCUUUGACGGGUAGCCGGCCUGAGAGGGUGACCGGCCACAUUGGGACUGAGAUACGGCCCAGACUCCUACGGGAGGCAGCAGUGGGGAAUAUUGCACAAUGGGCGGAAGCCUGAUGCAGCAACGCCGCGUGCGGGAUGACGGCCUUCGGGUUGUAAACCGCUUUCGCCUGUGACGAAGCGUGAGUGACGGUAAUGGGUAAAGAAGCACCGGCUAUCUAC
RNAcentral lists this ribosomal RNA (465 nucleotides) under uncultured bacterium. RNAcentral describes it as "partial 16S ribosomal RNA". It matches the Rfam family "Bacterial small subunit ribosomal RNA", at positions 28 to 504 of the family's 1533-position model. The record is from RNAcentral.